CGACCUCAGUUCAGGUGAGACUACCCCCUGAAUUUAAGCAUA
RNAcentral lists this ribosomal RNA (42 nucleotides) under Echinothrips americanus. Its description in RNAcentral is "partial 28S ribosomal RNA". The record is from RNAcentral. Lineage: Eukaryota; Metazoa; Arthropoda; Insecta; Thysanoptera; Thripidae.